This 464-nucleotide long non-coding RNA is filed under the name Marmota monax (woodchuck). The record is from RNAcentral. Lineage: Eukaryota; Metazoa; Chordata; Mammalia; Rodentia; Sciuridae.
GGGGAAUAUGUGGGGAGCCACUCUGAAUGAUUCGUGUCUUCCAGGGUGGAGAGGCUUUGACCAUCACUACGUCUCAUAGUGACUUGGACGUUGCCCAGGUCCCAGAAGUUUAAGGAUGUGUCUUCAGACACAGGUGUCGCCCAACAGCCCUUGGGUCAAAUUACACUCACAUGUCCCUUGUAACUCCACCCCUUCUUUUCUUUUUUGGAAGGAACUUUCUAAGAAUGAGGUCCUCCCAAUAAAAGGCCACUUCCAAACGUUCUCUCUCCGCGCCCCCCUCUCUCUCUCCCCAGCCUCUCGUGACUAUCCCUCAAACUCCCAUUUGGGAAAUUUGAGGCUGAGAAUGGAGGACCUGUCCUGAAGCUUGUUUAAAGGUAAAGUGUGUGUGUCUGUGUUUUACUUGGUGUCCCUGGAAAUUCACACGAGAAACCACAAGUUCAUCUGCCUUGCAGCACAUUAUGAAU